This 846-nucleotide ribosomal RNA is filed under the name Amphidinium massartii. RNAcentral's name for it is "partial large subunit ribosomal RNA". It matches the Rfam family "Eukaryotic large subunit ribosomal RNA", at positions 38 to 931 of the family's 3401-position model. The record is from RNAcentral. Lineage: Eukaryota; Dinophyceae; Amphidiniales; Amphidiniaceae.
GCAUAUAAGUAGGUGGAGGAAAAGAAACCGAAUGGGAACCCCUUAGUAAUGGCGAAUGAAAAGGGGUGUGCUUAGCGUCAAAAUCAGUUAUACUGACUUGUAGAUUGUAUGGGUAUUGCCAGUGUGGGGGUGGGUGAAAGUCUCUUGGAAAGGAGCACCAGCGAGGGUGAUGGUCCCGCUUGACAUCCACUACUCCACGCGGACGGCGUAUCUUUCAAAAGUCGCGUUCUUCUGGAAUAGAGCGCAAACUGGGUGGUACCUCACGCCCAAGGAGCAUUACGUGCUUGAGACCAAUAGUGAACAAGUACCAUGAGGGAAGGAUGAAAAGGACUUUGGAAAGAGGGUUAAGAGGGCAUGAAGCUGCUGGAAGGGAAGUGGACUGGAAUUUUUCUGGUGGAAGGAUUGCGGAUGUCAGCUUCACUUGCGAGUGCUGUCAUCUGUGUUUCUUUCCACUUGGUUGGGAGUGGUGCUCAUGCCAAGAAAUCCUGCGUUGGUUGAUGAAGGGUUGCAACUUGGACCAUACCUUUGCUUCUUCUUGGUUUUGUACUGCCUCUCAACCAAUAUGUCCAGUUUUGCCCGUCUUGAAACACGGACCAAGGAGUCUAAUGUGUGUGCAAGUGUGCUGGAGAACAUACCUGACAAUGCAACGAACGUGACUUGCUGAGAUUCUUGCAUCAGCAACCAACUGAUCUCUUGGGAGAAGUUUGUGUAUGAGCACACCUGUUAGUACCCGAAAGGUGGUGAACUAUGCCUGAGAAAGGUGACGUCAGGGGAAACUCUGAUGGAGGCUUGUAGCGCUACUGACGUGCAAAUCGUUCGUCUGACUUGGGUAUAGGGGCGAAAGAC